This is a non-coding RNA of Podospora appendiculata, 93 nucleotides long. NCBI's taxonomy places the organism in Eukaryota, Fungi, Ascomycota, Sordariomycetes, Sordariales, Podosporaceae. The record is from the annotation of a GenBank genome assembly.
GCCGUUAUAGUAUAGUGGUCAGUACUUCCGCUUGUGGGUCUGCAAAGCCUUCUAGUUACGCGGACAACGUAGGUUCGAUUCCUGCUAACGGCA